Molecule: ribosomal RNA, 387 nt
Filed under: uncultured bacterium
Lineage: Bacteria
Description: partial 16S ribosomal RNA
Rfam family: Bacterial small subunit ribosomal RNA
Source: RNAcentral
CGGGAACAUAAUUCAUGGGGGAAGACGGAAGUUACGGUAACUCAAGAGGUAAGCCUUGGCAAAUUCGGUCCCACCAGCGGGGUUAUUAGGGGGGGGCCAGGCGUUUUCGGAAUUUUUGGGGGUAAAGGGGAGUGGAGGAGGAGUUAAAUCUCAGGGGAAAAUUCAGGCAUCAACCCUGAAGACCCGCCGGUAAUAGUCAUAGUAGAGGACGUGGGCAAGGCCGGGAAUACCCGUAAUGGCGCGGAAAAAUCUAGAGAUAGGGAGGAACACCAGGGGGGAAGGCGUCUUCCUGGACUCACCGGACGUUGAUGACACGGAAGGGGGGAGCAACCAGGAUUAGAUAUCCCCGUAGUGUACACGCCGUAAACUGAGCUCUAGGGGUGGGGG